ACACUGGUCAGCUGUUACGAGAGGAAGAGCCCAGCACCGAAUCCUGCGCGCUUUGGUUGCUAGGAAAUGUGGUGUUUAGGACGCUCCUUCCGCGUCGCGUCGGUUCGCUCCAAGUCCACCUGAUUGUGGCUCAAGCCCAGAGAGGGUGUAAGGCCCGUAAGAGCGUCGCCGUGCGUCGUCAGCUGGAGCUGUCCUUGGAGUCGAGUUGUUUGGGAAUGCAGCUCAAAACGGGUGGUAAACUCCAUCUAAGGCUAAAUACUGGCACGAGUCCGAUAGCGGACAAGUACCGUGAGGGAAAGUUGAAAAGAACUUUGAAGAGAGAGUUCAAUAGUACGUGAAACCGCUUAGAGGCAAACGGAUAAAGCCGAAACUGGCUCGAGGUAUUCAGCCGUUCCUGGCGUCGCGUCAAAGCAACCCGAGGAUCUCUUAGACCUGUUGCGCGACAUUGCUCGUCGCCGGAACGGUGCACUUUCCUCGUCGCCUCUACCGCGACCGACAGGCUCUAUUGCGCCGCUAGCCGGCUGGGAGAAGGUGGCUCGGCUCCUUCGGAGCAGAGUGUUAUAGCUGCCGACGCGCGAGCGGCGGCUUGUCGGAUGGAAUUGCGGCGCCCGCCCUUUGGGCUCGCACGGUCGUCUCGUUAAGGGCACUUGGAGCUGCGCGCACUGCUUGUCAGUUCGCGCGGCUUCGCUCUUCUCUAUUGGGGCGGUCCUCUGCGAGCAGGCGCCAACAGUCGGCGGUUGUUUUUGUAGGUCUUUUAUCCGACCCGUCUUGAAACACGGACCAAGGAGUCUAACAUGUGCGCGAGUCAUGGGGUUCUACGAAACCCAAAGGCGAAGUGAAGGUAAAGGCCGUCUUCCAAAGACGGCUGAGGUGGGAUCCGGUUCCUAAACAUGGGCCGGCGCAUCACCGGCUCGUUUCGUUUGUUUUCAAAGGAGCGACGCUAGAGCGUACACGCUGGGACCCGAAAGAUGGUGAACUAUGCUUGCGCAGGUUGAAGCCAGAGGAAACUCUGGUGGAGGACCGCAGCGUUUCUGACGUGCAAAUCGAUCGUCAAACGUGAGUAUAGGGGCGAAAGACUAAUCGAACCAUCUAGUAGCUGGUUCCCUCCGAAGUUUCCCUCAGGAUAGCUGGCACUCGGGAAACAGUUUUAUCCGGUAAAGCGAAUGAUUAGAGGUAUUGGGGGCGAAACGCCCUCAACCUAUUCUCAAACUUUAAAUGGGUAAGAUGUUCGACUCGCUUAACUGGAGUCGGGCUCUGGAAUGUGAGUGCCCAGUGGGCCAUUUUUG
RNAcentral lists this ribosomal RNA (1286 nucleotides) under Acanthomacrostomum sp. CEL-2014. RNAcentral describes it as "eukaryotic LSU rRNA". It matches the Rfam family "Eukaryotic large subunit ribosomal RNA", at positions 85 to 1139 of the family's 3401-position model. The record is from RNAcentral. Lineage: Eukaryota; Metazoa; Platyhelminthes; Dolichomicrostomida; Dolichomacrostomidae.